This is a non-coding RNA of Arachis ipaensis, 1598 nucleotides long. Lineage: Eukaryota; Viridiplantae; Streptophyta; Magnoliopsida; Fabales; Fabaceae. The record is from RefSeq and is a predicted model, not a curated record.
UAAGAGACUUCGGAUUCUGAACAUGUAACACAAUUGAACAUAAGUAUUCUAUGAACUACUAUAUGUGUGACAAUUCUUUGGAUUUAGUUAUGGAACAACAGUUUCAUUGUAAAUUCUAUUUUUUUAGCAUAGUUAUUUAAUCUUGAUCAUAAAAUAACGUGCUAGUUCUGGCAUUAUACAACUAUUCUCAUAUUACUACUAAUUUCAAAAGAAAAAUUAUAGAAAUUAACUUGUUUAGUUUUCCUCCAUGGUAGUGUUACUGUGCAAGCUUGUCCCCUCCAAUGCCAAUGUUACUACCUCCUAUUUAUUAGCAUAAUUUCAUUGGAAGAGACUGCAUUGUAGGCAGCAUGAUGAUAGUGUAUGAAUACACAUGUUAUGAAUAGUGACAACCCAUCUGAGGAGUUUGAGAUGCUGAAAAUCCACUAACUUAAAAAUCUACUAUUAGAAAAAUAAUAUUAUAGAUUAAAUACUUAUAUUUUAGUUCAAUUCGUUUGAUUUUUCGAAUAAACCAAGCCAACCAUUAAGUUUAGACUCAUUUUGAAGGCUCUACUUGCAACUAUGCAUUUUCACCUUUUUUUUUCACCUUUUUUUUUUCGUUAGGAAAAUAUUAACGAUUCAUUCUGUGAUUAAAGAUUGUAUUCAUUAGAAUAGUGAUAAUACUACAAUAUUUUCUUCUUUUUACCCUUAUUAUUCAUUAUUUGCAACUCUACAUAAAAAUUCAGUGUCUUUUAUAAUUCUAUUUGGUAGAUCUCUUUUUUUGUCCUAAAUGGUUAAUUAUCAAAUUUAGUGUCCAUUUUUUUUAAAUAAAUAAAAGACCCCUUAGAUGGCGUGUUGCCUUUUUUUGUUGUGUUGUCUUUUGUGUGAAUAAAUAUUGACAGAAUUAAAUAUUUACUUUAAAUACAAUCUUUAAGCAAUGAAUUGUUAAUAUUUUUAUAACGAAAAAAAUAUUUGGUGAAAAUGCGUAGUUGCAAGUAGAGCCUUCAAAACGAGUCUAAACUCAAUGGUUGGCUUAGUUUACUCGAAAAAUGAAACGAAUUGAACUAAAAUAUAAGUAUCUAAUCUAUAAUACUAUUUUAUUUAAUAGUAGAUUUUUAAGUCAGUCAGCAUGUCAAGAGGGUGCCACUAUUCAUGACAUGCUUAUUCAUACACUAUCAUCAUGCUAUCUACAAUACGGUCUCUUCCAAUGAUAAUAUCAUUGGAGGUAGUAACGUUGGCAUUGGAGGAGACGAGCUUUGCUGGAGACCACCACAGUAACAUUACCAUGGAGGAAAACUAAACAAGUUCAUUUCUAUAAUUUUUCUUUUGAAAUUAGUUAUAAUAUGGGAACAGUAGUAUAAUGCCACAACCAGCACGUUAUUUUAUGAUCCAGAUUAAAUAACUGUGUUGGAAAAAAUAGAAUUUACAAUAAAACUGUUGUUCCAAAACUGAAUCCAAAGAAUUGUCACACACAUAGUAGUUCAUAGAAUACUUAUGUUCAAUUAUAUUACAUGUUCAAAAUCCGAAAUCUUUUAUCACUACUUUUCUUUGUGGGAAGAGUGAACUAUAUUCAAAUUAAGAUAUGAAAGAACUAUAUACAAAAGUUUAAUUUACUCUCAAAU